Molecule: ribosomal RNA, 491 nt
Filed under: uncultured bacterium
Lineage: Bacteria
Description: bacterial SSU rRNA
Rfam family: Bacterial small subunit ribosomal RNA
Source: RNAcentral
UCAGUUGUGAAAGUUUGCGGCUCCACCGUAAAAUUGCAGAUGAUACUGGGUGUCUUGAGUACAGUAGAGGCAGGCGGAAUUCGUGGUGUAGCGGUGAAAUGCUUAGAUAUCACGAAGAACUCCGAUUGCGAAGGCAGCUUGCUGGACUGUAACUGACGCUGAUGCUCGAAAGUGUGGGUAUCAAACAGGAUUAGAUACCCUGGUAGUCCACACAGUAAACGAUGAAUACUCGCUGUUUGCGAUAUACAGUAAGCGGCCAAGCGAAAGCGUUAAGUAUUCCACCUGGGGAGUACGCCGGCAACGGUGAAACUCAAAGGAAUUGACGGGGGCCCGCACAAGCGGAGGAACAUGUGGUUUAAUUCGAUGAUACGCGAGGAACCUUACCCGGGCUUAAAUUGCAGAUGAAUUACGGUGAAAGCCGUAAGCCGCAAGGCAUCUGUGAAGGUGCUGCAUGGUUGUCGUCAGCUCGUGCCGUGAGGUGUCGGCUUAAG